GCUAUUUGUUGCUAGGUUUAUGGAGCCCUAUUUGAGUUUGCAUUUAAGGACAGCCCAGACGAGAUGAUCAAACGACCGAUUUGAUCAGAAAAUAAAUAGGCGACUAGAGUCAGACCAAGAUAAGUUGGCAACGAUUUUGACAGCCCAUACAGUGCAGGUGUUAUUUUAAACGUCAAAUUUAUAUGAAAUUAUGACGUUUGCACAGGCUAUCAAAAUCGCUGCUGAUUUAGAUUGGUCCGACUCUAUCUCUAAUGUAAUCAUCAAUUUUAUACUUAUUUGAGCGCUCUUAAUUAAAAAAUAAUUAUAUAUUAGUAUUCUUGCGUCCGCACCUGCAUGUUAUCGUAAUAUCUGUCAUAAUCGGCAAUUUAAUCAGAUUGGCGAAUAAUUGUUCCCGUCUGGACUGGCCUUACAUGGGCCUUACAUUGUGUCACUUUUGUUUACCAAACAAAAGAAAGAUCAGGAGUAUCCGAACGCAAACUGUCAAUGUCAAUGUGAUACUGAGACGAGUGAGAUCUGCGAGAUGUCAAAGUCAAAUCGAUUUAGUUUGGUAUGCUGUUGCUGCUGCAGCUUUUGUGAUGAUCGAAGUUCUAUUCUAUUGAAGUGUGUAUUAAAUGUUGACUGACCUGAAUAAUUUACGCUCGUUAUAUAUAAUUUGUAUCACAAUGAGCAAGUGUGCUGUAAUUGGAUGUAAAUCAGAACACAAUCCUUUUAAUAGCGGUGUAACAUUUCAUCGGUAAUUAAUAAUAAUAUUCGUGUUACAAGAAACAAGAAAUAUUUGCCGCUAUGGGAAAGAGUCGUAAAAAUAAAACCGAAAUCAGUACAUGCCAAGAUAUGCAGUCUGCAUUUCAAAGAGAAGGAUUUUGUUGAAGGCAGAGGAAGCCGUGUGCUCAAACCUGGUGCUGUGCCGUCUGUAAAUAUUGUUAACAAGGACAGUUCAACAGAUGAUGAUGAUGACAAUGAAAAGUUGUCUUUACUGAAGAGGGCACUUUCAAGAAGCAAGGGAGAUUCUACUACCACUGGACGUGCGGAGAAAACAACUCGGUCAGAUUCUGAUGAAUAUGAUCAGAAUCCCAAUUUACCUCAGAAGUUUCAAAUGGUGGUGCCAUGCACAUGUUGCAAUUCAGUCCAGUCUUCAAGCUCAUUCCCAAAACAAACUAGCAACAUGGGAGUACAAACCAAAAUAAAAACAAAUAAGGAAAUAUCACUACAAGCAAAAGUGAAACUCCUCGAGUUGAGACUCAGAAGGAGAGAUGCAAAAAUCAGCUACAUGCAAACAGUUUUAAACAUGAUCAAGAAACAUACUAAAGGUACAGAUAUGGAAUACAAGUUAUGUUGUGAACUCCAGAAUAUUUCCCAGUUUUCAGAGACAAUAGACAGUAGUCAUAAGGAUAAAAGAAAAAGUAAUCGAAGUAAAACUAGAUAUGGUAGGGUUGAAAGUCCUGUUAGCGAAGUAUCAAUCGGGGAUGAAGAUGCCUGCACAUUUUAUGAAGUGGUACAUAGUCCUAAUCUAAAGACCUUCAAUGGUUUUAGUUGAAAUCUGAUUAGUUACGAAUUCAAGGGCGUAGCCUGCCAGUGAACUAGGGGGGGCGGGGUCAAGUUGAUAGCGCCGGAGAUCUAGGAAGGCAGACGCGUGCAGCUUCCCCCCGCCCGUACCGGCCCAUGGUUACAAUUCUUAUAGUGUAGUUUUAUAAGAGACUUUUAGGCCUGAAUAAAGAGACUGAUUAUUACUA
This is an RNA transcript of Cydia pomonella (codling moth), 1730 nucleotides long. RefSeq lists it as uncharacterized. NCBI's taxonomy places the organism in Eukaryota, Metazoa, Arthropoda, Insecta, Lepidoptera, Tortricidae. The transcript has 4 exons. The record is from RefSeq and is a predicted model, not a curated record.